UCCCCUAGUAACUGCGAGUGAAGCGGGAAAAGCUCAAAUUUAAAAUCUGGCAGUCUUUGGCUGUCCGAGUUGUAAUCUAGAGAAGUAUUAUCCGCGCUGGACCGUGUACAAGUCUCCUGGAAUGGAGCGUCAUAGAGGGUGAGAAUCCCGUCUUUGACACGGACUGCCAGGGCUUUGUGAUAUGCUCUCAAAGAGUCGAGUUGUUUGGGAAUGCAGCUCAAAAUGGGUGGUAAAUUCCAUCUAAAGCUAAAUAUUGGCGAGAGACCGAUAGCGAACAAGUACCGUGAGGGAAAGAUGAAAAGAACUUUGGAAAGAGAGUUAAACAGUACGUGAAAUUGCUGAAAGGGAAACGCUUGAAGUAAGUCGCGUUGGCCAGGGAUCAACCUUGCUUUUUUGCUUGGCUUACUUUCUGGUCGAUGGGUCAGCAUCAAUUUUGACCGGUGGAAAAAGUUCAAAGGAAUGUGGCAUCUUCGGAUGUGUUAUAGCCUUUGUUCACAUACAUUGGUUGGGAUUGAGGAACUCAGCACGCCGCAAGGCCGGGUUUUUAACCACGUACGUGCUUAGGAUGCUGGCAUAAUGGCUUUAAUCGACCCGUCUUGAAACACGGACCAAGGAGUCUAACAUGCCUGCGAGUAUUUGGGUGAAAAACCCGAGUGCGUAAUGAAAGUGAAAGUUGAGAUCCCUGUCGUGGGGAGCAUUGACGCCCGGAUCUGACCUUUUGUGACGAUUCUGCGGUAGAGCAUGUAUGUUGGGACCCGAAAGAUGGUGAACUAUGCCUGAAUAGGGUGAAGCCAGAGGAAACUCUGGUGGAGGCUCGUAGCGAUUCUGACGUGCAAAUCGAUCGUCAAAUUUGGGUAUAGGGGCGAAA
This 868-nucleotide ribosomal RNA is filed under the name Laccaria bicolor. RNAcentral's name for it is "LSU rRNA". It matches the Rfam family "Eukaryotic large subunit ribosomal RNA", at positions 76 to 928 of the family's 3401-position model. The record is from RNAcentral. Lineage: Eukaryota; Fungi; Basidiomycota; Agaricomycetes; Agaricales; Hydnangiaceae.